Molecule: long non-coding RNA, 1187 nt
Organism: Gallus gallus (chicken)
Lineage: Eukaryota; Metazoa; Chordata; Aves; Galliformes; Phasianidae
Source: Ensembl
CCCCGGAGGACUUGGUGCGAAGAGGAAGUGAGGUGGUGCUCUGAACCGGACCGUCGCCGCUCUUUGCUCCUGGCCAUCUCAGCUCGCCGCGGAGAAAAGCACGUGCUUCCCUAGCACUGUUGUGGUUUGACUCGUACUUUGGUGCAAUUUAUAGGUAACUACCAACUUACAGUGGCAAUUUGUGUGUUGUCCAUCAGUGUUUUGUGUGAUGACCAUCUGCAAGGUCCCUGUAGCAGUGGACAGUAAUAUGGCCUAAGGGAAAAACUGUUGACUGAGGCAUUUUAUGAUACUGCAAGAAUAUUCUUCACCAAGAGAUUGAUCAAACCAGAGAAAAGUCAUGACAUGCUCAAGGAAGUAAAGCCUGCCUGAAUAAGCAUCAGGAAGACCUGGCGCCCCCCGGUGCUCUUUGUUUAACAGAGGAGGUAUCCUUUGGACAGAAUGGAAGAGGUGUUAGAGAGAAUCAUCAUGUCAGUAUGACAAGAAGAGUACUGAGACAUGUUGGCAACAGCAGGAUGGCAACCAGCUGGCAGCAAUGAUAGACUAUGAAUUAACAAGAAUCAUAGAAUCAUAAAAUGGUGUGGGUUGAAAAGGAUCUCAAAGAUCAUCUAGUUUCAAACCCCCUGCCAUGGGAGACCUGCUAACCACAAGAUAAGGCUUCACAGAACCACAUCCAGCAUGGCCUUGAAUGCAUCCAGGGAUGGGGCAUCCUCAGUCUCCUUGGGCAACCUGUUCCAUUGCAUCACCACCCUCUGAGUGAAAAGCUUCCUUCUAAUAUCUAACCUAAAUCUCCCCUGUCUGAAUUUAAAACCUUCUGCCUCAGAAGAAGCACUGGAUUCAUAAGAGGCUACUUUAAUCUUUUGCAACCAGCAGGAGCAAGUAGUUUUUUUUUCUCAGAUGUUCACAUAUGUUGUUUCAGAAAUUUCUCAUUAUGGCCUAAUAAGCAAUGGAAGUUUUUCAAACUGGGGAAAAACAAAAAGGUCAGCCAGAAGUCUCUGUGAUGAAGCUGCUGAUGGAAACCUAAGGAGAAAGUAAGUGGUUGAAGACCACUAGAGGCCGCUACCAGAGGGACAUUAACAGAUAUUAAUGAAUUCGGAGAGGAAAAAAAAAAAGAGAGAAUAUGUAUGUGAAAUACUGCAUAAAACAUAUGUAUGUUUUAACUGAAACGUAGAAUCUGAACUCUGAGAGAG